RNAcentral lists this ribosomal RNA (510 nucleotides) under uncultured bacterium. RNAcentral describes it as "partial 16S ribosomal RNA". It matches the Rfam family "Bacterial small subunit ribosomal RNA", at positions 28 to 507 of the family's 1533-position model. The record is from RNAcentral.
GACGAACGCUGGCGGCGUGCUUAACACAUGCAAGUCGAACGAAGAGCGAUGGAAGCUUGCUUCUAUCAAUCUUAGUGGCGAACGGGUGAGUAACGCGUAAUCAACCUGCCCUUCAGAGGGGGACAACAGUUGGAAACGACUGCUAAUACCGCAUACGAUCCAAUCUCGGCAUCGGGACUGGAUGAAAGGUGGCCUCUAUUUAUAAGCUAUCACUGAAGGCGGGGAUUGCGUCUGAUUAGCUAGUUGGAGGGGUAACGGCCCACCAAGGCGAUGAUCAGUAGCCCGUCUGAGAGGAUGAACGGCCACACUGGGACGGAGACACGGCCCAGACGCCUACGGGAGGCAGCAGUGGGGAAUCUUCCGCAAUGGACGAAAGUCUGACGGAGCAACGCCGCGUGAGUGAUGACGGCCUUCGGGUUGGAAAGCUCGGUUUAUCGGGACGAAUGGUCCUUGUGCGAAUAGGGCGAGGAUUUGACGGUACCGGAAUAGAAAGCCACGGCUAACUACGUG